UUGACCUCAAAUCAGGUAGGACUACCCGCUGAACUUAAGCAUAUCAAUAAGCGGAGGAAAAGAAACUAACAAGGAUUCCCCUAGUAACUGCGAGUGAAGCGGGAAAAGCUCAAAUUUAAAAUCUGAGGGUCUUUAUGGCCUUCCGAGUUGUAAUCUAGAGAAGUGCUAUCCGCGCUGGACCGUGUACAAGUCUCCUGGAACGGAGCGUCAUAGAGGGUGAGAAUCCCGUCUUUGACACGGACUACCAGGGCUUAUGUGAUGCGCUCUCAAAGAGUCGAGUUGUUUGGGAAUGCAGCUCUAAAUGGGUGGUAAAUUCCAUCUAAAGCUAAAUAUUGGCGAGAGACCGAUAGCGAACAAGUACCGUGAGGGAAAGAUGAAAAGAACUUUGGAAAGAGAGUUAAACAGUACGUGAAAUUGUUGAAAGGGAAACGCUUGAAGUCAGUCGCAUUGGCCAGGGAUCAACCUUGCUUUUGCUUGGUGUAUUUUCUGGUUAAUGGGUCAGCAUCAAUUUUGAUCGGUGGAAAAAGAUCAAGGGAAUGUGGCAUCUUCGGAUGUGUUAUAGCCUUUGGUUGUAUAC
Molecule: ribosomal RNA, 577 nt
Filed under: Tricholoma myomyces
Lineage: Eukaryota; Fungi; Basidiomycota; Agaricomycetes; Agaricales; Tricholomataceae
Description: eukaryotic LSU rRNA
Rfam family: Eukaryotic large subunit ribosomal RNA
Source: RNAcentral